Molecule: ribosomal RNA, 888 nt
Filed under: uncultured bacterium
Lineage: Bacteria
Description: bacterial SSU rRNA
Rfam family: Bacterial small subunit ribosomal RNA
Source: RNAcentral
GCAGUCGAACGAAGCACUUAAGCCUGAUUCUUCGGAUGAAGGUUUUUGUCGCUGAGUGGCGGACGGGUGAGUAACGCGUGGGUAACCUGCCUCAUACAGGGGGAUAACAGUUAGAAAUGACUGCUAAUACCGCAUAAGACCACGGAGCCGCAUGGCUCAGUGGGAAAAACUCCGGUGGUAUGAGAUGGACCCGCGUCUGAUUAGGUAGUUGGUGGGGUAACGGCCUACCAAGCCAACGAUCAGUAGCCGACCUGAGAGGGUGACCGGCCACAUUGGGACUGAGACACGGCCCAAACUCCUACGGGAGGCAGCAGUGGGGAAUAUUGCACAAUGGGGGAAACCCUGAUGCAGCGACGCCGCGUGAGCGAAGAAGUAUUUCGGUAUGUAAAGCUCUAUCAGCAGGGAAGAAAAUGACGGUACCUGACUAAGAAGCACCGGCUAAAUACGUGCCAGCAGCCGCGGUAAUACGUAUGGUGCAAGCGUUAUCCGGAUUUACUGGGUGUAAAGGGAGCGUAGACGGCUGUGUAAGUCUGAAGUGAAAGCCCGGGGCUCAACCCCGGGACUGCUUUGGAAACUAUGCAGCUAGAGUGUCGGAGAGGUAAGUGGAAUUCCCAGUGUAGCGGUGAAAUGCGUAGAUAUUGGGAGGAACACCAGUGGCGAAGGCGGCUUACUGGACGAUGACUGACGUUGAGGCUCGAAAGCGUGGGGAGCAAACAGGAUUAGAUACCCUGGUAGUCCACGCCGUAAACGAUGACUACUAGGUGUCGGGGAGCAAAGCUCUUCGGUGCCGCAGCAAACGCAAUAAGUAGUCCACCUGGGGAGUACGUUCGCAAGAAUGAAACUCAAAGGAAUUGACGGGGACCCGCACAAGCGGUGGAGCAUGUGGUU